UACAGAGGUGGCAAGCGUUGUUCGGAAUUACUGGGCGUAAAGGGCGCGUAGGCGGUCUUCUAAGUCUUGUGUGAAAUCCCUCGGCUCAACUGAGGAACUGCACGGGAUACUGGAAGACUUGAGUUCGGGAGAGGGAAGCGGAAUUCCGGGUGUAGCGGUGAAAUGCGUAGAUAUCUGGAGGAACACCGGUGGCGAAGGCGGCAUCCUGGACCGAUACUGACGCUGAGGAGCGAAAGCCAGGGGAGCAAACAGG
This 253-nucleotide ribosomal RNA is filed under the name uncultured bacterium. Its description in RNAcentral is "partial 16S ribosomal RNA". It matches the Rfam family "Bacterial small subunit ribosomal RNA", at positions 524 to 776 of the family's 1533-position model. The record is from RNAcentral.